GUUUCAAAUCAUCACAUAUAUUCCUAAGAAUCUUAUAGAACAGGCAGCACUCAGGAUAUAUUCACCAUCCAUGAUUAGUAAUCCCACAAGCUCUCCAAAUCUCCAAUGGGGCCAACUGAUGAUGGACCUUCAAGACCAUCGUACACCUUGUUGCUUCCCAUUUCUUGCUUCGACACCACCGAUGAUAUCUCGGCGGUGUUGUUCACGUCAGUGCUCAGACCAGUGUCUUGUGAGAGGGUGGCCACAGAUUGGUUAGAUGAAAAUUGUUCAACCUUG
RNAcentral lists this unclassified non-coding RNA (276 nucleotides) under Hevea brasiliensis (rubber tree). The record is from RNAcentral. Lineage: Eukaryota; Viridiplantae; Streptophyta; Magnoliopsida; Malpighiales; Euphorbiaceae.